UGCUGUUCCAACAACUUGUCUACAAGCUUGCUUUUGGAACAGCAUUGACACAACUUGUUAACAAGCUUGCUACAAGCCCGUUGAGAACAUAUCUUGUAGACAAGUUAUUGGAACAGCAUUAUAACGACAAGUUUGUCUUCUAAAAUUGCCUCAGCCAGCAAUUUANNNNNNNNNNNNNNNNNNNNAUAAUUUCUGCCUCGCGUGCCAAAAUCUUUCCGUGCGCGGCGAACGAAAGCUAUCUGCUUACGGAUUGUCGUAACAGCGCAUGCGUAGUAUACGAAAGUAAACAUCCAAGAUGGCGGCGCAAAAUGAAUUGCUGGCCGAGGCAAUUUUAGAGGACAAACUUACUGGCUAUUUCUUUCACCGCACAUUCCCUUUUGUCCCUAUUUCUAAAAUCUGCAGAACUCACACCGUAUAAACAUUUGUAUUCAGGCCAAAGGUCGACAAGUUUGUCCUCUAAAAUUGCCUCGGCCAGCAAUUCAUUUUGCGCCGCCAUCUUGGAUGUUUACUUUCGUAUACUACGCAUGCGCUGUUACGACAAUCCGUAAGCAGAUAGCUUUCGUUCGCCGCACACGGAAAGAUUUUGGCACGCGAGGCAGAAAUUAUCAAACAUGUUAAGGCCGGCGCACACUAGAGCUAUGUGCUUAGCAAAAUGUCAUUCGUGACUGUUGGCGUAAGGAGAUAGCUCUCGUGUGCGGGCGAUUUACGAACGACUUUUGUCAUUCGUGCCACUUACGCCAAAUAUCUAACAUGUUUGAUAAUUUCUGCCUCGCGUGCCAAAAUCUUUCCGUGUGCGGCGAACGAAAGCUAUCUGCUUACGGAUUGUCGUAACAGCGCAUGCGUAGUAUACGAAAAUAAACAUCCAAGAUGGCGGCGCAAAAUGAAUUGCUGGCCGAGGCAAUUUUAGAGGACAAACUUGUCGAACUUUGGCCUGAAUACAAAUGUUUAUACAAUG
Molecule: long non-coding RNA, 955 nt
Filed under: Paramuricea clavata
Lineage: Eukaryota; Metazoa; Cnidaria; Anthozoa; Malacalcyonacea; Plexauridae
Source: RNAcentral